CCAAGCACAAAAAGAAUGUAAUAUACCAGAUUUUGGUAAAGAAAAUAAAGAUAAAUAAAAAUAGUGUGGGAUACUAUUUUUAUUGAAUUUAGAGAAGUAAAACAUAAGUCAGAAUUGACUUGUGCUGAAAUCGGAAUGAAAACAGAAGAUAUAGAAUUUUCUGUUGGAGACGGGACAGAAAAAUAAGCAGAAAAUGCACAGUCUCAGAAAAUUAUGAAAAUUGGCGGAGAUGUCAGAAAUAUUUUUAUGAGGCUAGAUUUAAGGUUUCAUAUUUUUCUGACACCCAUAGAGUGAGAAAUAAAAUCCGAAAGCUAUCUGAUAAAGAUUGCAGUUCGGUACAGUUUUCAGUGACCAAACGGGGUCGAAACUGAACCAGUGAUCGUCAGCUUGUUAAGUUAAGUAAAACCGAACAUGACUGUCAAGUUUGAGCUCAAACGGAGAUUCAGGGAGCUCCGGCGAAAGUUAUCAGAUUUU
Molecule: long non-coding RNA, 474 nt
Filed under: Ananas comosus (pineapple)
Lineage: Eukaryota; Viridiplantae; Streptophyta; Magnoliopsida; Poales; Bromeliaceae
Description: long non-coding RNA (ACOM_LNC029153)
Source: RNAcentral